UACGUAGGGUGCGAGCGUUGUCCGGAAUUAUUGGGCGUAAAGAGCUCGUAGGCGGUUUGUCGCGUCUGCUGUGAAAUCCCGAGGCUCAACCUCGGGCCUGCAGUGGGUACGGGCAGACUGGAGUGCGGUAGGGGAGAAUGGAAUUCCUGGUGUAGCGGUGGAAUGCGCAGAUAUCAGGAAGAACACCUAUGGCGAAAGCAGCUCUCUGGGACGGUACUGACGCUGAGACGCGAAAGCGUGGGGAGCGAACAGG
RNAcentral lists this ribosomal RNA (253 nucleotides) under uncultured bacterium. Its description in RNAcentral is "partial 16S ribosomal RNA". It matches the Rfam family "Bacterial small subunit ribosomal RNA", at positions 524 to 776 of the family's 1533-position model. The record is from RNAcentral.